CGCAGCUAACGCACUAAGUUGACCGCCUGGGGAGUACGGCCGCAAGGUUAAAACUCAAAUGAAUUGACGGGGGCCCGCACAAGCGGUGGAGCAUGUGGUUUAAUUCGACGCAACGCGAAGAACCUUACCUGGCCUUGACAUCCAGAGAACUUUCCAGAGAUGGAUUGGUGCCUUCGGGAACUCUGUGACAGGUGCUGCAUGGCCGUCGUCAGCUCGUGUCGUGAGAUGUUGGGUUAAGUCCCGUAACGAGCGCAACCCCUAUCCCUGGUUGCUAGCAGGUAAUGUUGAGAACUCCAGGGAGACUGCCGGUGACAAACCGGAGGAAGGUGGGGAUGACGUCAGGUCAUCAUGGCCCUUACGGCCAGGGCUACACACGUGCUACAAUGGUGCGUACAGAGGGCUGCAAACUCGCGAGAGUAAGCCAAUCCCUUAAAACGCAUCGUAGUCCGGAUCGGAGUCUGCAACUCGACUCCGUGAAGUCGGAAUCGCUAGUAAUCGCGAAUCAGAAUGUCGCGGUGAAUACGUUCCCGGGCCUUGUACACACCGCCCGUCACACCAUGGGAGUGGAUUGCACCAGAAGUGGUUAGUCUAACCUUCGGGAGGACGAUCACCACGGUGUGGUUCAUGACUGG
RNAcentral lists this ribosomal RNA (632 nucleotides) under uncultured bacterium. RNAcentral describes it as "bacterial SSU rRNA". It matches the Rfam family "Bacterial small subunit ribosomal RNA", at positions 847 to 1478 of the family's 1533-position model. The record is from RNAcentral.